This 253-nucleotide ribosomal RNA is filed under the name uncultured bacterium. RNAcentral describes it as "partial 16S ribosomal RNA". It matches the Rfam family "Bacterial small subunit ribosomal RNA", at positions 524 to 776 of the family's 1533-position model. The record is from RNAcentral.
UACGUAGGGACCGAGCGUUGUCCGGAAUCAUUGGGCGUAAAGAGCGUGUAGGCGGCUUGCUAAGUCUUGCGUGAAAUCUCGGGGCUCAACCCCGAGCGGUCGUGGGAAACUGGCAGGCUAGAGUGCGGGAGAGGAGAAUGGAAUUCCUGGUGUAGCGGUGAAAUGCGCAGAUAUCAGGAAGAACACCCGUGGCGAAGGCGGUUCUCUGGAACGCAACUGACGCUGAGACGCGAAAGCGUAGGGAGCAAACAGG